UCCCUGGUAGUCCAGUGGGUAAGACCCUGAGCUCUUGAUGCAGGGGUCUUGGUUCAAUCCCUGGUCAGGGAA
RNAcentral lists this transfer RNA (72 nucleotides) under Bos taurus (domestic cattle). It matches the Rfam family "tRNA". Rfam says of the family: Transfer RNA (tRNA) molecules are approximately 80 nucleotides in length. Their secondary structure includes four short double-helical elements and three loops (D, anti-codon, and T loops). RNAcentral also lists the same sequence under 2 other names. The record is from Rfam by way of RNAcentral. Lineage: Eukaryota; Metazoa; Chordata; Mammalia; Artiodactyla; Bovidae.